Molecule: long non-coding RNA, 4272 nt
Organism: Balaenoptera acutorostrata (minke whale)
Lineage: Eukaryota; Metazoa; Chordata; Mammalia; Artiodactyla; Balaenopteridae
Exons: 3
Source: RefSeq, a predicted model, not a curated record
GUUUCCAUGCCUUCCAGUUCAACCACGCUAUCACAAGAUUGGUCUCUCCGAGCCUCCGGCACUGUUUCCGCAUUCUGAACUAGAUGACCGCGCUUUAGGUUAUCACCUCGUGGCCUGGGGCAUCACCCUAAAUUCCCCAUGCUUUUCCAAGCCUAACUGGGGUCCUGGCCCCACCCGUUGUGGCACAACCCCGCUUCGGACACCUACCCUUCCUUUUUGGCGCUACAAUUGCUGCUAGAGGAUGUGGUGCGGCUGCGGGGGUCCUCGCGGCGCACUGAGGCGAGGCGCUCUGGUGACAAGUAGCGGCGGGCACUGCGAAUAGAGAGCACAUAGCUGCAGCCGCUGCUCCAGCGCCGACACGCGGUCGUCCACCUCCAUCCCGCUCGUGCCCGACAAAUUGUCAUCUGGAAGGCAAGGGAGCGCUGGCUGCGGGGGCCCACCCAGGAGCUACAACGCCCGAGACUUUCCAAGCCAAAAAGGUCGUGCCUGGUCCCUCGCCUUCGCAUUCUCUCCUCACCAAGGGGUUCGACACCCGAGCCUGCUGCAAGGACAGAGUUUCUGCGGCCCCUGACGGCAGAUAUGGGAGUUGCAGGCAGCGCAUCCGAGACCCGAGACCAACGGAAGGGAGAUACCCGCGGGGAUCUGACACCCAAGCUCUCUUCCCCGACCCGAGCUUCUCCCCUCUAUUCCCCUCCUUUAUUUGGCUUAUGUACCCCAUGCCCCUGAUUCGGUUCUCCCUCUCCCCUCUAGGCCAUGGGUGCAACCAAAUAACUCCUCCAUCUCCCGCGGGCACCGCCCCCCCACCCCGCCCAUUUUUCCCGAAGUGGGAGGGGCAGAGGACCAAGGUGGUCUACCCUCCCACCUCCCUCCCAGACCACUCAUACCCAGACUCAUUGCUGGCAACAACCAAGAAAGCCCUGGCUCCCAGUCGGGUAGAAGUAAGGGUGGUAUCAUUAACAGGAACCGGGCGUGGAAGUAGCACCUGCCAUCCCCUGUCGGAGGCCGCCCCGCCCGUCCGCUGGGCUCCGCAGUGCAGCCGUCUAUCCCUUCUCUCCCUCCCCCGCCACCCCCGCAGCCCAAUCGCCUGCCUGGCCUUGCCCGCCCUGCCCCCCACCCAGCGCCUCUCUGUUCGGGUGCCUGGACCUGCAUUGGAAGGUGGGGGCCUCCCGAGGUCUGAGGGAGAGAGCUGUCAGGACUUGGAACUCAUAAGAGGAGGAAUCUCAGGGUCCCGUUGGCAAAGCGUUUUGCAAAAGAGGAAACUAAGGACGGAGGUUGGGGAGUGUGCAGAGAUCACCAAAGGUCAAACAGCCAAUAGGUGAGGUGCAGGAGGACCUGCUCACCUCCUUGUGCCAAGACCCCUCUUACCUACCAUUAAUAAUACUACCCCCCCCCCAAAUGAGAUCUGCUAUAGGGAGCUUACACGUGGCAGGCACUCUUCAUGCAAAACGCUUAGCACCUCACCUGGCUCUGGUUAUGUGCUCAGUAAAUCCAGAAUAUAAUUAACUGUUAUUAUGGUACCCAGUGCUCCCAGCAACUCUAGCAGCUGUAGUAUUAUACCCAUUUUAGGAGGCAAGAAGGUGGAAGGGGACUGAGACCUAGAGAGAUGAAGUUGCUUGUGCAUGGACACACAGCCUUUCAGCAGCAGAACAGGUACUUGACCCCUGGCUUAGGCACCCUGUCAGCCUGCCUCUUAGAAGGGCAGAGGAGACAAAAUAAGCAUUCUGGAGCUCUGCCAACUCCAGUGGUCCCUGACACUGGGGUGUGUGCCCAGGGGAGUGAGCCUCCAAAUGGAAGAUAGUUCCUUCUCAGGGCCGCUGAGUGAAAUGGGGGAGCUUUCACCUUGGCCCUUCAACCCCCAUCCAAAGAGCCAGCUGCAUUCUGAGGCCUUGGCCUGCCCACCCCCGACCCUCCAUGACUCAAGUCCUCUGCUCCCUCCUGACCAUUCCCCCACCUUCAGCACUUUUGCCCGGAAAUCAGCCCCCACUUCCCACUUUUCCCAUCCCUCCCUCCUCCCCUCUGCCUCCAGCUUCCCUCAUCUGGGCCUGACACCCACACCCACACCUUCUUGUAUCGAACCCAUUUGUCUAGGGAGAAGGGAUGAGUCCUAAUGGGUGGGAGGGGCGGGGCCUGAGGAUUUGGUGGGUAUAGUCGAAGCAAAGUCCUCUGGUCAUCCUACUCAGUCCCACAUCCAGCCCACAAGCCAACACCAAAUCCCACUCUCCCCCUAAUCUGUCCCUCUGCUAGGGAGAAGGGGGAGGGUCCCAGAGGAUUGAGAGGGGAUAGGGAAGGCAGAGUUCCAGACCUCCAGGCCUCCCCCCUUUCUGCCCCAAGCUCCUGAGGUUCUGCUCCUUUCUCUCAGUUCAGCCACCUCUGAAAAAGGGGAGGGUUGAGGAGGGUGGGGGAUUGGGAUCAGGGCUUUGGGGAUCAGGGAGCCUGCUCUGGGGUCAGGGUCCUGCUAGGGGAGAAAGGGGAAUCUUCAGCAAGGGGCGAGGAUGGGGACUUGGAGGGAGGAGGUUGGGGCAGGAGGAGAUAGGUCCAGCCCUGGGCGGGGCCAGGGUCGGAACUGAGGAGGGGUCUCACCGUUGCAGUAUUGAAGCAGGGAGGACGUGUCGUAGAGGCCGCAGAAGGCCGGGCCGCGCUCCGCCAUCGCCCCGCCACAGCCACCGCCAGCCCCCCCGGCCCCAGCUCGGGCCUCGGCUCCCCCCCCAGGCCCUGCCUCCCGUUGCCAUAGCAACGCCCUUCGUUCCAGCAUCCCCGGCUCGGCCCGCCCGGCAUCAGGCGGCCGACGCCGGGCCUGGCACCGGGGUCAUCCCCCAGGAUGCCCAGAAAGGGGGGGUGUCGGGACACCCCCUGCCAGGCCCCGCAACACAAUCUUCGGGCCGGGAUUGGCUGACCCGAGAUCCCCCUCGGUACUGUCUGGUCCCGCCCACAACAGGCGCGUAUUCUCUCUAGACACCCUCGCCUGUUCAGGACCAAUGAGAGCCUGUCUCGCAGGCCCCCUCCGCCAAUAGGGAUGCAGAAGGUUUGGAAGGGGCAGGGCCUUCUCUGCUUUUCAGCCCGAAGCAUAGCCCCCGGCUCUUAGAGGAAGAUAGGGUGGAAGAAGACACCACACACCCCGCAAACCUCCCUAAUCUUUUACUGGAUUUUCGAGAAGCCACCUUGCAAGACUAGAGCCUGACCCCAGAGUCUCAAAUCCGCCCAGAUAUCCACUAGCUCCGCCCUGGAACUCUUAUUCUAGCUCAUUUCUUAGGACUCUUGUUUAUUCUAUCUACGCCCGCCCCCAGGGCUCUUAGCUCCACCCCCAGAAUCCUGAGGGGGGAGUUAAAGUUCUAUUCCCGCCCCCAGAGCUUUUGGCACCGCCCCCUAAGCAUCUCAGGGCGAUGGUUCUUGGCCCAGAGCCCUUGACUCAGCCUCCUGAUAGGAUUGGCUCCGCCCCUUAAGUUUAUACCCCUACCCCCAAGUCUGUUAGUCCCUCCCUAACCUUUCCUUCCACUUUCCUAUUGGCCGCCCCAGGCCCUUAGCUCCUCCCCUACAGCGUUCAUCUCCCACAACCUUAUUAUCCAGUCCGGGUUUUGACAAAGGCCCAGCUGUGAUGCCUGGAUGGCUGGCGGUGUCAGUCGGAGCCGCCUCCGAAGUUGGGGGGAGAGGGGAGGGUAGAAAAGCUGACAAUGGACUUAAACAAUACUGGACCACCUUCUCCAAGCCUCCAUUGAGGGUCAGCACCUAGAAAUGACCCAGAACAUGCUUUAUAGCGGUGGGAAGUGAGCCCAAAGCAGAAGAGAUUUGCCUCUGGACACAAGCAGGCCUUGGAAGCCCAGGGCUUUGGAACCAAAUUGGUCUGGGUUUGAAUCCUGACUCCACCAGUUUCUGAUUGUGACCUUGAGCCUCAGUUUCCACAUCUGGAAAGUGGGGGGUCAUAUCGUGCCUACUUCUUUCAUUCAUUUGAAAAUUUUGGGACUUCCCUGGUGGCGCAGUGUUUGAGAAUCCGCCUGCCAAUGCAGGGUCACGUGUUCGAUCCCUGGUCCGGGAAGAUCCCACAUGCCAUGGAGCAAAUAAGCCAGCGCGCCACAACUACUGAGCCUGUGCUCUAGAGGCUGCGAGCCACAACUACUGAGCCUGCAUGCCACAACUACUGAAGCUCACGCACCUAUAGCCUCGCAACAAAAGAAGCCACCGCCACGAGAAGCCCUCGCACCGCAACAAAGAGUAGCCCCCACUCUCCGCAGCUAGAGAAAGCCCUCGUGCAGCAACGAAGACCCAACGCAGACAAAA